Long non-coding RNA from Prinia subflava (tawny-flanked prinia), 314 nucleotides. RefSeq lists it as uncharacterized. NCBI's taxonomy places the organism in Eukaryota, Metazoa, Chordata, Aves, Passeriformes, Cisticolidae. The record is from RefSeq and is a predicted model, not a curated record. The transcript has 2 exons.
GCUGCCCGGGGCAGAAAACCGCCCUGUAAGGCGAAAUAAGAAGCAAAAAUAGAUAAAAGUAUUGAGAGAAGAGACCAAGAAUGAGAGCUAUACUUAUGCAUACAGCAGCUGAAAGAGAUUGGGCACACGCCUCCAGAGCUAAGAAAUUAACAGCCAGCCCCGAGGGAAAACCCCGAGUGGAACGUCAUCUCUUCCCCCAGAGAUCUGAUGUCCCGGCUGUAUCAAGGACGCAGCCGCCCUGAAGAACAUUAAGCAGCAGCCUAAAGGAGCCUCAAAAGAAACUUUGUAACCACUCGAAAAAGAGAACCAAAAGA